GGACCUGAUUAGCGCAUGGGCCCCCUAGCAACGGGCUCCUGGGGGCUGGUUGGUUGCUACGGCCUGGAGACGGGCCACAGGAUUCCUCCCCCGCCCCGCCCCAGCAGCGCUCAGCGGAGCCGGGUCUGUCUGGCCGGGCAGAUCAGUAGUGGAGUCAGCUGCCCUCAGCGUAUUGUCACUGAGCCGGUGGGAGGUUUGCUCCUGGUGCGAAAAUCCCAACUGGCCCUAAAGGAAGAGCCAAGUUUCUAGCUGGGUGAGAAGAGCUGGAAAGCACAACCCCUGACAGCUCCAGCCCGGCAGGCCAGCAAAGAGCCAGUAGUUACUGUGGUCAUCAUGGAAAUUUACCUUUUGUAAAGCUAGUCUCACCAUUCUAGGGGGCCCGAGUCAUGCUUUUUGAAUGCUUGGGGUCACUUCUAACAACACUGCAGCAGCAGCUCAAAACAUCAUCGCAGCAUCGCAAAAUGUCGCCGGAAAAUGUCUCUGUGGUGCCACAAAGUAUCACCAAGAAAUGUCACUGUGGUUUCUCAAAACGUUGCCCCGAAAUACCUCUGUGGCAGUGUAAAUGUCUCUGCAUUGCCACCUGCUCUGUGGCCACCUUUCCUCUCAUACAGCAGCAAGACCAUGGUGGCCCUGGCAUAACUCUGUUUGUGUUCCCCAAGCUGAUGGGUGGAUUUCACUCUGAAUAAAUUUCAGAGCCAACUGACUUAAUUUACAAGUUAAAAGGACAUUUACAAUGCCAUUUGCUACCAAGAUCUUGGAAGAAGCUGUAUGUAGCUCCAUACAGGAGAUCUACAUUACUCACUUCACCUCUCUACAAAGGAAAAAGGACUGUAAGCUGUCUAAACUCCUACCUGCCACAUGGGGCCACAACCGUGGUACCUCUAACCCAUCCAGCAAUAUCAUCAAUCUAUCCAACUACACACUCAGGACAGA
Molecule: non-coding RNA, 933 nt
Organism: Chelonoidis abingdonii (Abingdon island giant tortoise)
Lineage: Eukaryota; Metazoa; Chordata; Testudines; Testudinidae
Source: RefSeq, a predicted model, not a curated record